CCAAUAGCGUAUAUUGAAGUUGUUGCAGUUAAAAAGCUCGUAGUUGAAUUUCGGGGUCAGCAGGUUGGUCGUGCCAAUGGUAUGCACUGGCCUUGCUGAUUCCUCCCUCUUGAUGAGCCGUAAUGUCAUUAAUUUGGUGUUGCGGGGAAUCAGGACUGUUACUUUGAAAAAAUUAGAGUGUUUAAAGCAGGCAAGCGCUUGAAUACAUUAGCAUGGAAUUAUGAAAUAGGACGUUUGAUCCUAUUUUGUUGGUUUCUAGGAUUGACGUAAUGAUUAAUAGGGAUAGUUGGGGGCAUUAGUAUUCAAUUGUCAGAGGUGAAAUUCUUGGAUUUAUUGAAGACUGACUACUGCGAAAGCAUUUGCCAAGGAUGUUUUCAUUAAUCAAGAACGAAAGUUAGGGGAUCGAAGACGAUCAGAUACCGUCGUAGUCUUAACCAUAAACUAUGCCGACUAGGGAUCGGAUGAUGUUAAUUUUUUAAUGACUCAUUCGGCGCCUUACG
This 500-nucleotide ribosomal RNA is filed under the name uncultured Glomeromycotina. RNAcentral's name for it is "partial small subunit ribosomal RNA". It matches the Rfam family "Eukaryotic small subunit ribosomal RNA", at positions 591 to 1092 of the family's 1831-position model. Lineage: Eukaryota; Fungi; Glomeromycota. The record is from RNAcentral.